GAGUUUGAUCGUGGCUCAGAUUGAACGCUGGCGGCAUGCCUUACACAUGCAAGUCGAACGGCAGCAUGAUCUAGCUUGCUAGAUUGAUGGCGAGUGGCGAACGGGUGAGUAAUACAUCGGAACGUGCCCUGUAGUGGGGGAUAACUAGUCGAAAGAUUAGCUAAUACCGCAUACGACCUGAGGGUGAAAGUGGGGGACCGCAAGGCCUCAUGCUAUAGGAGCGGCCGAUGUCUGAUUAGCUAGUUGGUGGGGUAAAGGCCCGACCAAGGCGACGAUCAGUAGCUGGUCUGAGAGGACGAUCAGCCACACUGGGACUGAGACACGGCCCAGACUCCUACGGGAGGCAGCAGUGGGAAUUUUGGACAAUGGGCGAAAGCCUGAUCCAACAAUGCCGCGUGUGUGAAGAAGGCC
RNAcentral lists this ribosomal RNA (411 nucleotides) under uncultured microorganism. RNAcentral's name for it is "bacterial SSU rRNA". It matches the Rfam family "Bacterial small subunit ribosomal RNA", at positions 9 to 416 of the family's 1533-position model. The record is from RNAcentral.